UACGUAGGGGGCAAGCGUUGUCCGGAUUUAUUGGGCGUAAAGAGCGCGCAGGCGGUCGUUCAAGUCGCGUGUGAAAGCCCCCGGCUCAACUGGGGAGGGUCACGCGAUACUGAUCGACUCGAAGGCAGGAGAGGGUAGUGGAAUUCCCGGUGUAGUGGUGAAAUGCGCAGAUAUCGGGAGGAACACCAGUGGCGAAGGCGGGUCUCUGGACAGUUCCUGACGCUGAGGCACGAAGGUCAGGGGAGCAAACGGG
This 253-nucleotide ribosomal RNA is filed under the name uncultured bacterium. RNAcentral's name for it is "partial 16S ribosomal RNA". It matches the Rfam family "Bacterial small subunit ribosomal RNA", at positions 524 to 776 of the family's 1533-position model. The record is from RNAcentral.